GCAUGCAGUCGGGCGGUAACAGGAAAGCGCUUGCGCUUUUGCUGACGAGCGGCGGACGGGUGAGUAAUGUCUGGGGAUCUGCCCGGGGGCGGGGGAUAACCACUGGAAACGGUGGCUAAUACCGCAUAAUGUCGCGAGACCAAAGUGGGGGACCUGAAAGGGCCUCACGCCGUCGGAUGAACCCAGAUGGGAUUAGCUGGUAGGUAGGGUAAUGGCCUACCUAGGCGACGAUCCCUAGCUGGUCUGAGAGGAUGACCAGCCACACUGGGACUGAGACACGGCCCAGACUCCUACGGGAGGCAGCAGUGGGGAAUAUUGCACAAUGGGCGCAAGCCUGAUGCAGCCAUGCCGCGUGUAUGAAGAAGGCCUUCGGGUUGUAAAGUACUUUCAGCGGGGAGGAAGGAUUUAACUUGAACAGAGUUGGAUUUUGACGUUACCCGCAGAAGAAGCACCGGCUAACUCCGUGCCAGCAGCCGCGGUAAUACGGAGGGUGCGAGCGUUAAUCGGAAUGACUGGGCGUAAAGCGCACGCAGGCGGUCAAUUAAGUUAGAUGUGAAAUCCCCGGGCUCAACCUGGGAACGGCAUCUAAGACUGGUUGACUGGAGUCUCGUAGAGGGGGGUAGAAUUCCAUGUGUAGCGGUGAAAUGCGUAGAGAUGUGGAGGAAUACCGGUGGCGAAGGCGGCCCCCUGGACGAAGACUGACGCUCAGGUGCGAAAGCGUGGGGAGCAAACAGGAUUAGAUACCCUGGUAGUCCACGCUGUAAACGAUGUCGAUUUGGAGGUUGCGGCCCUGAGCUGUGGCUUCCGAAGCUAACGCGUUAAAUCGACCGCCUGGGGAGUACGGCCGCAAGGUUAAAACUCAAAUGAAUUGACGGGGGCCCGCACAAGCGGUGGAGCAUGUGGUUUAAUUCGAUGCAACGCGAAGAACCUUACCUACUCUUGACAUCCUCAGAAUUUGCUGGAGACAGCGAAGUGCCUUCGGGAACUGAAAGACAGGUGCUGCAUGGCUGUCGUCAGCUCGUGUUGUGAAAUGUUGGGGUUAAGUCCCGCAACGAGCGCAACCCUUAUCCUUUGUUGCCAGCACGUCGAAGGUGGGAACUCCAAAGGAAACUGCCCGUUGAUAAACCCGGAGGAAAGGUGGGGAAUAACGUCCAGUCAUCCUUGGCCCCUUACAAGUAGGGGUUACCACCAUGCUACAAAUGGCGGGAUAAAAAGUGAAGCGAACUU
RNAcentral lists this ribosomal RNA (1227 nucleotides) under Photorhabdus luminescens. RNAcentral's name for it is "bacterial SSU rRNA". It matches the Rfam family "Bacterial small subunit ribosomal RNA", at positions 53 to 1256 of the family's 1533-position model. The record is from RNAcentral. Lineage: Bacteria; Pseudomonadati; Pseudomonadota; Gammaproteobacteria; Enterobacterales; Morganellaceae.